AGUCUGCAAUACAAUACCAAA
Molecule: non-coding RNA, 21 nt
Filed under: Rattus norvegicus (Norway rat)
Lineage: Eukaryota; Metazoa; Chordata; Mammalia; Rodentia; Muridae
Source: RNAcentral